GAUGAACGCUGACAGAAUGCUUAACACAUGCAAGUCUUUGGCGAAGCUGUGCUUGCACAGCCUAGCCAAGGCGGACGGGUGAGUAACGCGUAAGGAACUUGCCCUGCAGUCAGGGAUAACAGACGGAAACGACUGAUAAGACCUGGUAAAGUCAGGCGGACUCAUGUCCAGCCUGAUGAAAAGAGAUGCUGCAGGAGAGCCUUGCGUCCUAUUAGCUUGUUGGUGGGGUAACGGCCCACCAAGGCGAUGAUAGGUAGCCGGCCUGAGAGGGUGGACGGCCACAAGGGGACUGGGAUGCGGCCCUUACUCCUACGGGAGGCAGCAGUGGGGAAUAUUGGACAAUGGGGGCAACCCUGAUCCAGCAAUUCUGUGUGCACGAUGAAGGUUUUCGGAUUGUAAAGUGCUUUCAGCAGGGAAGAAAAAAAUGACGGUACCUGCAGAAGAAGCGACGGCUAAAUACGUG
This 463-nucleotide ribosomal RNA is filed under the name uncultured bacterium. RNAcentral describes it as "partial 16S ribosomal RNA". It matches the Rfam family "Bacterial small subunit ribosomal RNA", at positions 28 to 507 of the family's 1533-position model. The record is from RNAcentral.